GUGAGGAAUAUUGGUCAAUGGACGGAAGUCUGAACCAGCCAUGCCGCGUGAAGGAUGAAGGCGUUCUGCGUUGUAAACUUCUUUUAUUAGGGAAGAAACCACUUUUUUCUAAGAGUGUUGACGGUACCUGAUGAAUAAGCACCGGCUAACUCCGUGCCAGCAGCCGCGGUAAUACGGAGGGUGCAAGCGUUAUCCGGAUUUACUGGGUUUAAAGGGUGCGUAGGCGGAUUAUUAAGUCAGUGGUGAAAUCCCGGGGCUCAACCUCGGAACUGCCAUUGAUACUAUUAGUCUUGAAUUAUGUUGAGGUUGGCGGAAUAUAACAUGUAGCGGUGAAAUGCUUAGAUAUGUUAUGGAACACCGAUUGCGAAGGCAGCUGGCUAAACAUAUAUUGACGCUGAUGCACGAAAGCGUGGGUAGCGAACAGGAUUAGAAACCCGAGUAGUCC
Molecule: ribosomal RNA, 445 nt
Filed under: uncultured bacterium
Lineage: Bacteria
Description: partial 16S ribosomal RNA
Rfam family: Bacterial small subunit ribosomal RNA
Source: RNAcentral